UGAGGAAUAUUGGUCAAUGGGCGGAAGCCUGAACCAGCCAAGUCGCGUGAGGGAAGACGGUCCUAUGGAUUGUAAACCUCUUUUGCAGGGGAGCAAGACGCGGUACGUGUACCGUGCUGGAGAGUACCCUGAGAAAAAGGCAUCGGCUAACUCCGUGCCAGCAGCCGCGGUAAUACGGAGGAUGCGAGCGUUAUCCGGAUUUAUUGGGUUUAAAGGGUGCGUAGGCGGACUGGUAAGUCAGCGGUAAAAAUUGCGGUGCUCAACGCCGUAGUGCCGUUGAAACUGCCGGUCUUGAGUGAGCGAGAAGUAUGCGGAAUGCGUGGUGUAGCGGUGAAAUGCAUAGAUAUUGCGCAGAACUCCGAUUGCGAAGGCAGCGUACUGGCGCCUGACUGACGCUGAGGCACGAAAGCGUGGGGGAUCGAACAGGAUUAGAUACC
Molecule: ribosomal RNA, 437 nt
Filed under: uncultured bacterium
Lineage: Bacteria
Description: bacterial SSU rRNA
Rfam family: Bacterial small subunit ribosomal RNA
Source: RNAcentral